This 585-nucleotide ribosomal RNA is filed under the name Triticum aestivum (bread wheat). Its description in RNAcentral is "partial small subunit ribosomal RNA". Lineage: Eukaryota; Viridiplantae; Streptophyta; Magnoliopsida; Poales; Poaceae. The record is from RNAcentral.
AUGUACUCUUUUCUUGAAAAAAGCAUUUCAGGCUGUGGCUAUCAAUGGAUAUGGAAAGCCCGCAUUCCUUUGAAAAUAUAAAUUUUAAUGUGGCAAUUGGCACAUGAUGCGGUGCUGACCAGAGAUGUGAUGAAACGUCGGGGUUGGAAAGGAGAGCCAAAAUGCUCGUUUUGCAAGGAAAGAGAAACUUCCCAUCAUCUGUUCUUUACAUGUCCGGUUGCCAGGGUGACAUGGAGAGUUGUGGCAUGCGUGUUUGGUACCGAUCUAUGUCCGGAUAACAUAUGGCAGGCGUAUGCGUGGUGCUACACUUUUUUUCCUGAUGGAGAGGUUUUUUAUACAACAGGCAUUGCAACAAUUUGCUGGGCAAUAUGGACUUGUCAUAACAAAGCUACUUUUGAAUGCAUACCUCUUAAAUCUCCAUUUGAAUGCAUCUUCUCUGCUUGUGCUCUUCUAUGCUAUUGGGCAGGUCUGAUGAAACAGGAGGAUGCGGCGGAUCUGAGGGCUAGAGGGAUCAUUCUGAAGAGCAACGCUUCUCGACUGAUGCGGAUCUGUGUUGCCGCAUAUCAGGAUGAGGAAGCCCGCUGA